RNAcentral lists this ribosomal RNA (501 nucleotides) under Alteromonas sp. SIJ21. RNAcentral's name for it is "bacterial SSU rRNA". It matches the Rfam family "Bacterial small subunit ribosomal RNA", at positions 384 to 877 of the family's 1533-position model. Lineage: Bacteria; Pseudomonadati; Pseudomonadota; Gammaproteobacteria; Alteromonadales; Alteromonadaceae. The record is from RNAcentral.
UGAUGCAGCCAUGCCGCGUGUGUGAAGAAGGCCUUCGGGUUGUAAAGCACUUUCAGUUGUGAGGAAAAGUUAGUAGUUAAUACCUGCUAGCCGUGACGUUAACAACAGAAGAAGCACCGGCUAACUCCGUGCCAGCAGCCGCGGUAAUACGGAGGGUGCGAGCGUUAAUCGGAAUUACUGGGCGUAAAGCGCACGCAGGCGGUUUGUUAAGCUAGAUGUGAAAGCCCCGGGCUCAACCUGGGAUGGUCAUUUAGAACUGGCAGACUAGAGUCUUGGAGAGGGGAGUGGAAUUCCAGGUGUAGCGGUGAAAUGCGUAGAUAUCUGGAGGAACAUCAGUGGCGAAGGCGACUCCCUGGCCAAAGACUGACGCUCAUGUGCGAAAGUGUGGGUAGCGAACAGGAUUAGAUACCCUGGUAGUCCACACCGUAAACGCUGUCUACUAGCUGUUUGUGACUUUAAGUCGUGAGUAGCGAAGCUAACGCGCUAAGUAGACCGCCUGGG